RNAcentral lists this ribosomal RNA (465 nucleotides) under uncultured bacterium. RNAcentral's name for it is "partial 16S ribosomal RNA". It matches the Rfam family "Bacterial small subunit ribosomal RNA", at positions 28 to 507 of the family's 1533-position model. The record is from RNAcentral.
GACGAACGCUGGCGGCGUGCUUAACACAUGCAAGUCGAACGGAAAGGCCCUGCUUGCAGGGUACUCGAGUGGCGAACGGGUGAGUAACACGUGGGUGAUCUGCCCUGCACUUCGGGAUAAGCCUGGGAAACUGGGUCUAAUACCGGAUAGGAGCCAUUUUUAGUGUGAUGGUUGGAAAGUUUUUUCGGUGUAGGAUGAGCUCGCGGCCUAUCAGCUUGUUGGUGGGGUAAUGGCCUACCAAGGCGGCGACGGGUAGCCGGCCUGGGAGGGUGGACGGCCACAUUGAGACUGAGAUACGGCCCAGGCUCCUACGGGAGGCAGAAGUGGGGAAGAUUGAACAAUGGGCGCAGGCCUGAUGCAGCGACGCCGCGGGGGGGAUAACGGCCUUCGGGUUGUAGACUCCUUGCGCUAGGGACGAAGCUUUUUGUGACGGUACCUAGAUAAGAAGCACCGGCUAACUACGUG